GCACUCCCUCCUCACCAGCGAUGAGAUCUGGGUGGGACAUCAGCCCCAUCUUUUUAUGGAUAGGGAAAUUGAGGCCAAGGAGACUGAGGUUUGCCACAUCACAGAGCAAGCAAGGACCAGAGCUGGGGCCCCCAGACUCCAGCUGAGGGCUUUCCUCACCAUGCACAUCCCCAGAGCUGGGUUGUUACAUGGCAUAUCCAGGUCAGGAGGAGGAGAGGAGAAGCGAGGAGGACCCGAAGAGACUGUUGGAAUGGAAGACUGUCAAAUGGAGACGGAACAUCUGGUCCUUGGACACGAUGCAGCAUGCAGGGGGCUUCUCAGCCUGUGCAGAGUGUGUCCUGCUCUGGAAUUCAGCCAUGCUCUGGCAUAGCUGAUGAGCUGGUGACACAGGGCCACCACCAUCUCUUCUGGGACUGAAGCGCCUCCUGGAAGAAAACUUAUCCUGCGGUAAGAGGCAGCCAGGCAGGGCCAGCUCUGGGUCUGAAUAUCGGCUCCACCAUGGGUGGGUGGGUGGACUUGGGCCCAUUUUCCUGCUUCCUAAUCUAUAAGACGUGGGAUAAUAGUGGAGCCCAAUUCACCAGCUGUUUAAGAUGGUUGCAUGAAAUAACAAUACCUGUAACAAGGCACAAGUGACAGCAUUUUCAUAUCUAGAAGCUAUCAGCGAUUUCUCUGUAUAGACCAGAGACAGAAAUGGAGUAGAGCUGUACAGGCAAUCUAUGUGAGGCUUCCUCAGAGUAAUGCAAAUAUAAGGCCAGCAAGCAAACUUACUGAGGUAGGAAGACAUUUUUCUCUGUGUGUGUGUGUGUGUGUGUGUGUGUUGCAUAAUAAAAGAGCUGGUACCCUGGAUGCUCAGGUGGUGCUGGCAGGAUUUACACCUGUGCAUGGACUGGUUGCGCCAGGCAGGCAGGUCUGGUCUUUAACAGGAACAUUCUGUUUCUCACUCUAUUGGUGUUUGGAAGCAAGUUUGACUCCUUAGGGCUUUGAAUAACACAGAGGCAAUGAGGAUUGAGGCCUUGAGAUGGAGUCACUGAACUGUGCGAUUAAUAUUGGUGGGCAUUUAAAUAAUUGGAAACUUACUAACAGAUGUGUCUGCAUUUUUACCCCCACCUGCUGAGCUGGGCCCUUGCUGGUAAUAGGCAGGUUAAGUACUUUGAGGGCUUGGCACACAAAAUGUAUACAAUGAAUAGAAGUGGUUAUAAGCUGUAGGGCCAGAUGGGAGAGGUGAGGCUGAGCAUAUAGUGGGAAUUAUAACUCAGGUUUUCCCUUGGGCCUGACCUAUGAACGCCUAUGUGUGCCCUUGGGAAGAUAGAGGGGAAUUAAGCAAAAAUGGAAAGAACACUUUGACUAAAAGCUCUAUAAGUCCUUGGGGACAUUGACAGAGCUCUUGGCAUACGCCCUUCCCCAAGAGAAGAACAGACGAAAAGCCUGCCUGCCUGCACCUGUUCCCUUCUUCUGGGAGCUGCUUCAUCUCCUAUCCCAUGCCACCCUGUGGUUUGAGUGGGAGCUACCAAUCACGGUAUUCAUCCUUAUAGUCACACAAGUGAUCACAUGACCCAGGUCCAUCCAACCAGGGACUUUCCCUGAGAAUUUUUAUUUGGAACAAACAGAGAAAAGCCAUUCACCCUUAUAGUCACACAAGUGAUCACAUGACCCAGGUCCAGCCAAUCAGGAACUUUCCCUGAGAAUUUUUAUUUGGAACGAACAGGGGAAAGCCAAUCCUUUAAAGGCAACAGCAUGAGCUGUCAUCCUCCAAAUUAUUGUGGGCCUGGUGGACCUCCCCCACCUUGUGGGAGAGAGCAAUCUGAGUAGCAGGAGGCAGAGCUAAUCCAUCAAGAGAAGUGGAGGUGAGAAAUGGAGUGGUGGGGGUUGUUAGAGGGCAUUCAAAUCCUGGUUGUGGUCAUUCCUAUACUCCAACUACACCCCGUUACUUCCCAUGGUUUGGACAUGUCACCCAAGAUGCUCUUCUUUUCAUCUGGCUACCUCAAGUUGGGAUUCCAGAACUUGAAGGUCCUGUAGUACUAGGUGAUUCCACGUGCAUUGAUAGUAGUUUGGCUGAACAUAUUGGGAGCCUGGUUGGGGGUAAUGGCACCUGCUGAGAAUGGCCAUGCCCAGCAAAGGUGGUGUUAUCUCAUAGAAAUGGCAGAGACACCCAGGAGAGAAGGCAGUGCUGGGGAAGAUGCAGUACCCGGCAGAAGCAGCAGAAAGUUGGGGGUGGGUGGAAGUGGGCACAGAAUUGAGCAGUCUUAUUGGUGAAAUCUAUCAUACAUACAUACAAUUGAUGCAGUCUAGUAUUCUUUUUAUUUCCACUUGCCUUUACACCUAGGGCAUUUUCCCUUAAAAUUAAAUAUGAGUGGAGAACAUGAUUUUUAAUGACCACAUAGCAUUCCAUCAUAUGAAUCCAACAUAAUCUACUUAACAAAUCCCCUAGUGUUGGAGAUUGUAAAUCAAUUGUCUUCAUAUUUUUUGUUUGCUUUAAUUUUUUUUUGUUAUUGUAUACUAUGCUGCCAGGAACCUCCUUGGAAAUAAAUCUUUGUGUACAUUUCUAAUGGUUUCCCUAGGAGAAAUUGUUAUAAAUGGAAUUGCCUUAUCAAAGAGUAUGGACAUUUUAAAGCCUUUGAUCCAUAUAAAUAAAUUGCCUCACAGAAUGAUUGUGACAAUUCAUACUCCCACCAUAAGGUAGAACAGUUUCCUUUCCUCUGAACCAGUGCCAGCCCUAAGUACUAUGAUUUUUUAAAAGCUUGGUUAAGAUGACAGGCAAAAUAUAUGUCUCAUUGUUUUAAUUUUGAUUUCUUUUAUUACUAGUGAUAUGGAAAUUUUUCAUAUAUUUAUUGGCUAUUUGUAGUUUUCUAUUGUACCUUUCUUAUUUAUGUUCUUUCCUCCUUUUUUUAAUGGGGUUUCCGGAUUUUCUUAUUGAUUUGUAAGAGUUAUUCACCUUGUCUGUGAUGUAUGUUACAAAUAUUAUUUCCUAGUUUCCUAGUGUGUUGUUUGAUUUUUAAUUUUGUUUACGAUAUUUUGAUAUAUGUAAUGGUUUGAUUUUUUUUCUUUUCUUUCUUUCUUUUUUUUUUUAGAUGGAGUCUCGCUCUGUUGCCAGGCUGGAGUGCAGUGGCGUGAUCUCUGCUCACUGCAACCCCUGCCUCUCAGGUUCAGGUGAUUCUCCUGCUUCAGCCUCCUGAGCAGCUGGGACUACAGGCACGCGUAGUACGCGCCUGUAUUUUUUUAGUAGAGAUGGGGUUUCACCAUGUUGACCAGGAUGGUCUUGAUCUCUUGACCUUGUGAUCUGCCCGUCUCGGCUUCCCAAAGUGCUGGGAUUACAGGCGUGAGCCACCGUGCCCAGCCUGAUUUUUAUGUUUUUAGAUUAGUUAUUCUUUUUUUGUGCUUUCUUCUUUCCAAAGAAAAGAGUGCUUUGAAAUACUUUCCUCACUCCAAAGUCAGGUAAAUAUUCACCCAUGAUUUCUUCCUGUUCGUCUAAAAUCUAAUAGAUUAAACUUCCUUAUCCAUUUAGAAUUUAUUUUGAUGGAGGUGAGGUAAGGAUCAGAUUAUUUCCCCCUCCAAAUGGUAAAUAAUUUGUCCCAACACCAUGUGUUAAAAAAAAUCUAUUCUUGGCCAUAAUUAAAAAGUAAAAAAAAAAAAAAAAAAAAUUGGCGUGGAUGUGGUGAAAGGGAACACGUUUACACUGCUGGUGGGAAUGUAAAUUAAUAUGACCAGGAUGGAUAUUCCUUACAGAACUAAAAGUAAAUCUACCAUUUGAUCCAGCAAUUCCACUACUGGGUAUCUACCCAAAGGAUAAGAAGUCAUUAUCUGAAAAAGACACAUGCACACACAUAUUUAUAACAGCACAAUUUGCAAUUGCAAAGAUAUGGACCCAACCUAAGUGCCCAUCGGCCAAUGAGUGGAUAAAGAAAAUGUGGUAUAAAUAUAUGAUAGAAUGCUACUUAGCCAUUAAAAAGUAUGAAACAACACUGUUUGCAGCAACUUGGAUGGAGCUGGACACCAUUAUUCUAAGUGAAGUAAUUCAGGAAUGGAAAACCAAAUGUCACAUGUUCUGACUUAUAAGUGGGAGCUAAGCUAUGAAGAUACAAAGUCAUAAGAGUGAUAUAAUGGACUAUGGGGGCCGGGUGCAGUGGCUCAUGUCUAUAAUCCCCACACUUUGGGAGGCCGAGGCGGGCAGAUCACCCGAGGUCAGGAGUUCGAGACCAGUCUGGCCAACAUAGUGAAACCCCGU
RNAcentral lists this long non-coding RNA (4222 nucleotides) under Homo sapiens (human). RNAcentral's name for it is "HSALNT0004962". Lineage: Eukaryota; Metazoa; Chordata; Mammalia; Primates; Hominidae. The record is from RNAcentral.